This 987-nucleotide unclassified non-coding RNA is filed under the name Hevea brasiliensis (rubber tree). Lineage: Eukaryota; Viridiplantae; Streptophyta; Magnoliopsida; Malpighiales; Euphorbiaceae. The record is from RNAcentral.
UAUAAAUAAAUAAAUCAUCAUAUUUUCAAAACUUACCAACACCCUCUUUCCCAAACGUUACUCCCAAUCUAAGAGUGGAAAUACACGUAAAUAAAAAAAAAUACUAAAAAAAAUAUGCUUUUUUUUUAAAUAAAUAAAAUACACACAAGCACACAUAGGAUAAGAAAGGUACACACCCAUUGACUCUAAAGAAGGUGAUGUUGUUGGCUUUAUCUUGUGUAUUAUUGGUGACAAAUGAAAACUUGGACCAUCCUUUAUUUAAGUCCUCGUGCAAGGGCAGCCUCACGACUGGCAGCAAACUUGGCGAUAAGUUUGUCGCGAGGUGGCCAAUUUUCUUGAAUGAUUGGGGCAGUUGAGAAUUCUUGAAUCCAUUGUAGCAAUAGUGGGAAUUUUUCUUGGUCUAUGAGUUUUAGACCAAUUACUUCCUCAAUUAUACCCAAAUAAUAAGCAAGCCAUCCCAAUGCGAGAUCCACUAACCCAAUUUUCUCUCCUCCAAAGAAUUUCUUUCCUUUUAGCUCCUCUUCUAAAUGCUGCAAGAUCUCCAUUGCUCUAGGUAUUUCUUCCUCUCGCUCUUUUCCUUGCUUGAACAGAAUACCAUAUACUAUUGAUUGAAAGACCUUAUCAUCACCAAACUUAGCCCAAAAGCGAGCCUUGGCUCUCUCAUGAGGAUCUUGAGGCAACAAUGGAAAUUGUUUCCAUGUCUCAUCCACAUAUUCAAGAAUAACAAGAGAUUCACAGAUGGGUUUUCCAUUGUGCAGAAGCACAGGAACCUUCUUAUGAACAGGGUUGUAUUGCAGAAGCAAAGGACUCUUGUUGGAGAGAUCUUCAUACACUGUAUCAAACUCCACGCCCUUCAGCUUUAGUGCCCAUAUAACUCUUAAAGGAAAUGGACUUGACCAUGUCCUGAAAACCUUUACUUCUUCUUCUGCCAUAGCCACUUUGUUUUGUAAUCUCUUACAAUUCUAUAUCACAAAGUCUGCUAUUUAU